UUUUUCCUAAAUGAGAAUUUUAUUAAUAGACAAAAUGUAUACCCAGCUCUAACACAUUAUCUCAAGCUUCAGUCUUUCAGAUUUUUGUACAUGUAGCAGGUCAUCCGACACAAAGUUUGGCCCCUUCUUGCUAUAGGUUGUAAGAUAAAAUCCUUAUAGAGCUCUUGGCAAUGGUGUGAAAAAUAUUUACCUUUUCAGUUUCUGAAAUGGUCUGUAAGUUUUGAUUACUAAAGCCAGCAGGGGAUAGGGCCUUUUCACUUCCUGCUCCUCAUGUACUUUUCGUUGGAUGGCUUUUCUAGAGCUGAUAAUUGCAGUUUGUAUGGGGUUUCCUUAAACUACUGAGUGCUUCACACCUUUUAUGAUCAGGCACUUUAUUACUCCUUUCUGAAGAAAGUGAAUGCGCAGUGAUACCAGAGCACGGAGUUUGCUUUUACCGAGGCUCUCCCAGGUCUUGUAGUGUUGCUAUCUCUGGAUUGUAUCCUGAAUUUCCAAGUUUGAAGGAUAAAGGCAUUCCCUCCGACAAGACACCCCCAUGACCCAUUACUGUAAGCAUUAUUUUCUGGGAGCAAAGGUUACGCUUAGCAUGGAACACUGGUGAGCACAGUUAAUUUUCGCUCGCUGUGGCGUCUGGUGCGAGUCAAAAACGCAGGGAUACAGCGCUUGUUAUUCUUGCGGGGAGGAGUGCGAAGUCCGCGAUGGGGCUCGAUGCCCCAGAGACUGGCUCCAACAUACUUUCCUUCUUUCUCAGCCCUGAAGGCAGGAGGGGCAAGCUCGCUCCCAGCGCUUUGCUGUCACAUCACGCCCGCUGUUGCGAUCUGGUCUGGCGGGACACAGGCCGUGCUGGCGGCUGUUUCCCCGGUCAGACGAGCUGCUCCAAGGCGCGCCGCGGUGUGUCCCGGCCGUGCCCCGCCGCCCAUCCCGGCCCAUCCCGGCCCAUCCCGGCCCAUCCCGGCGCGGCCGCCGGCGGGGGCGGAGCCGGGCCGGGCCGGGCGGCGGUCACGUGGCGGGGUCACGUGGCGGGGAGCCGGGCCCAGCCGCCGCCGCCGCUCCGGGAGCGAGUUGGAAGAAUCCAGGGGUUUCAAGUUUUGAGUAGCGGCCGUCUUACAAGAUUACCACACCUAAACUGAAAAGGCAGAUGCAGCUCUGAGUACCAGAUGGGUGUGUGCACUGCAUGUACAUGAAAACGCACAUGUUUUUGUCGUCACGUAGACUUGCUCUGGCAUAUUCCUGAGAGCUUUGCAAUUGAUGAAAAUUAAUUUGAGAACCAGAUGGAGCACCUUCGCAGCACAGGAAUCAAUAAUCCAUGGAAAGACACCUGCCAGUAAUGUUCAACUUUCCACAUGGUCUUCAUGGGUGAAAAAAAUCUGCAAGAAGAGAAAGAAAAAACACCCUCUGUGCAGAAAAAAGCCUAGUAAAUACCUCCACAAUCUAAAUCGCUAUCUGUGAGGGAAACAGACGAAUCAAGAGGGCAGAGGAAUAAUGUAUGAUCUUUGGCACGUUUUGCAUUGGGCUCAGUAGGUUGUGAAUGGACAAUAAAACGUGACCUUCUGCUGAGCA
RNAcentral lists this long non-coding RNA (1557 nucleotides) under Lonchura striata (white-rumped munia). Its description in RNAcentral is "domestica (Bengalese finch) lncRNA (ENSLSDG00000010362.1)". Lineage: Eukaryota; Metazoa; Chordata; Aves; Passeriformes; Estrildidae. The record is from RNAcentral.